UACGGGGGGGAGCAAGCGUUGUUCGGAUUUACUGGGCGUAAAGCGUGCGUAGACGGUUGCGUAAGUCAGAUGUGAAAGCCCCGGGCUCAACCUGGGAAUUGCAUUUGAGACUGCGUAGCUAGGGUGCGGAAGAGGGAAGCGGAAUUUCCGGUGUAGCGGUGAAAUGCGUAGAUAUCGGAAGGAACACCAGUGGCGAAAGCGGCUUCCUGGUCCAGCACCGACGUUCAGGCACGAAAGCGUGGGGAGCAAACAGG
This 254-nucleotide ribosomal RNA is filed under the name uncultured bacterium. Its description in RNAcentral is "partial 16S ribosomal RNA". It matches the Rfam family "Bacterial small subunit ribosomal RNA", at positions 524 to 776 of the family's 1533-position model. The record is from RNAcentral.